GACGAACGCUGGCGGCGUGCUUAACACAUGCAAGUCGAACGGAAAGGCCCCCACUUUUUUGGUGGGGGUGCUCGAGUGGCGAACGGGUGAGUAACACGUGGGUGAUCUGCCCUGUACUUCGGGAUAAGCUUGGGAAACUGGGUCUAAUACCGGAUAGGACCAUGGUUUAGUGUCUCAUGGUGGAAAAAUUAUUGUUUUGGUGCAGGAUGAGCUCGCGGCCUAUCAGCUUGUUGGGGGGGUAAUGGCCUACCAAGGCGUCGACGGGUAGCCGGCCUGGGAGGGUGGACGGCCACAUUGGGACUGAGAGACGGCCCAGACUCCGACGGGAGGCAGCAGUGGGGAAUAUUGCACAAUGGGCGCAAGCCUGAUGCAGCGACGCCGCGUGGGGGAUGACGGCCGUCGGGUUGUAAACUCCUUUCGUUAGGGACGAAGCCGCACCUUUUUUGGGUGUGGUGACGGUACCUUUGUGAAGAAGCACCGGCUAACUACGUG
RNAcentral lists this ribosomal RNA (492 nucleotides) under uncultured bacterium. Its description in RNAcentral is "partial 16S ribosomal RNA". It matches the Rfam family "Bacterial small subunit ribosomal RNA", at positions 28 to 507 of the family's 1533-position model. The record is from RNAcentral.